Molecule: ribosomal RNA, 427 nt
Filed under: uncultured bacterium
Lineage: Bacteria
Description: partial 16S ribosomal RNA
Rfam family: Bacterial small subunit ribosomal RNA
Source: RNAcentral
UGGGGAAUAUUGCACAAUGGGCGCAAGCCUGAUGCAGCCAUGCCGCGUGUAUGAAGAAGGCCUUCGGGUUGUAAAGUACUUUCAGCGAGGAGGAAGGCGUUGUGGUUAAUAACCGCAACGAUUGACGUUACUCGCAGAAGAAGCACCGGCUAACUCCGUGCCAGCAGCCGCGGUAAUACGGAGGGUGCAAGCGUUAAUCGGAAUUACUGGGCGUAAAGCGCACGCAGGCGGUCUGUCAAGUCGGAUGUGAAAUCCCCGGGCUCAACCUGGGAACUGCAUCCGAAGCUGGCAGGCUAGAGUCUUGUAGAGGGGGGUAGAAUUCCAGGUGUAGCGGUGAAAUGCGUAGAGAUCUGGAGGAAUACCGGUGGCGAAGGCGGCCCCCUGGACAAAGACUGACGCUCAGGUGCGAAAGCGUGGGGAGCAAACA